AGCCUUUCUUCCCUGGGCCUCUGGAGCCUGCAGUUUCCAAACCAAGCUGGUCCUGAUUUCUGAGGCACUUAGACUGUGCAGACUCCCAGAACACUCCUUCUGAAGUCCUCACUCAGCUGACCCAGGGCAGGGUCUGGGAAUCUCUGUGUUACAAAGCUCCCAGGGAGGAAUUGAUGAGGUUUUGGAUGUGGGAACUAUGGGAAUCCCCCGUCUUCCCCCAGGAUCCUCAGCCACCGGAAGGAAGUCCAACAGCAUGGCUCCCUAUAUCUGGGCUAACUCCUGUUAUCUCAGAAAAUCUCUCCUGGGCAGAGCUACUGAGCUAUGGAACCAUUCAGUGUUCUGCACUAUCUCAAGAACACAACCAGCACUGACCAAAAUACUCUGGAAGGGCACCACAGAGCUCACUGAGGAAGAACCUUUCCCAAUGGGAAAAAAGUAUGGAGAAAGGCCUCUUCACAGGUGGGUUCCUAAAAUUCAUUCCAUAACUUGAAGAAAAUCAGAUGUUUCCAAACAGGAGAGAGAAAAGACAAAGGAGAAGAGGAAGGAACAGGGAGGAAAGAAUGAAUCUUUUUUUUUUUUUUUUGGUGGGGGUACAAGGGACUGAACUCACUCAACCACUGAGCCACAUUCCCCAGCCCUGUUUUGUAUUUUAUUUAGACACAGGGUCUCACUGAAUUGCUUAGCGCCUCACUGUUGCUGAGGCUGGCUUUGAACUUGUGAUCCUCCUGCCUCAGCCUCCCAAGCCGCUGGGAUUACAGGUGUGGGCCCCCACACCCUGUUGAGGGAAUGACUCUUAUGUGAAUGAAUAGUACUUUUUUCUUAGUUACCAGGAAGAAGAAAGUAUCAACAAAGCCAGACCCAGAGCUCAACUAAAGAGAUUUCUCUGCCUCAAAUUCUUUCCUGGAAGCUGCAAACUGUAUCCACCAGUGGCCAUUAAUCGAGUAUUAAGCCCUCUAACCUUCCUAAUUGUUCUUUUUCAAUAUCAGGUGGUUUCAUAUUAACCUUUCAGUCUUUCCCAUAAUGCAGCUCCCUCCAACCCUAGCCAGACUUGAUUUAGAAGCUGUGGCCAGCCCAGAACUUUCUUCCUCUUGCUGCCUUCCCCCACCUCCUCCCCUGUGACUGCCCUUCUGUCUUACUCCUAGGCGUGCUACGAAGAGGUCCCCUGGGUGUAGCGUGCACUGCCUGGAUCUGGGCUGGCCAGAGCCAAAGGGACACAUUUGCGAGCCUGUGCCUUGUGCUUUGGGGUUCCCGUGACUGCAGUAGUUCCUCUAUUAUCUGGGACUAAGGCUAUCAGGGGAAGGCAGCUGCAGCCUGCCAGUGCUAAUGAGCCUCUGGCUGGUUCCGUGGCUCCUGCCAGUGCUAAUGAGCCUCUGGCUGGUUCCGUGGCUCCGGUAUUUCAGCUUUGUUUUCUCUCUCUCCCGGGAAGAACUCACCAAAAUAGUGUCUUUGGAAAGGACGGAGCAUCUGGCCCAGAUGCUGAGGGAGCGUUUGGAGCUGCCUGUCUUGGAUUCCCCUCUGUGCCUGUGAGGGCCCCUCAGUCCUAAGGCCAGGCUGUGACCCACACAGAGGCGCCAUCUUGUGGAGGGUCACACAGCCUGGGCUUGAGUUUGGGCCUUUCCCAGCAGACAAUGACAGUUUUGGAGAGAGGAUCUUUGACUCCUUGGGUGAUUGCUACCCCAAUAUAAGCAGUGGGGAGUGGAGGGAUCUUUUGUUCCAGGGGAGGUAUCUCUGGGGUACUUGUUCUUCUCCUUUAUAGUUAGGGUAUAAAGCUAGGAAGGACCAUAAAAUUCACUAUGCAAACCCUCAUUUCAUGAGACUGGGGCUGUAGAGCUUUGUCAGAAGCAGAAGGGUGAGAGUCUCUCUCUCUAGCUUCACUCAGCCCAGGCCAGACAGUGCAGGAAAAUCAAGAUGGUCUUCAUAGCAGGCCUGAGAGGCAGGGCAGGUGGAGGGGUAAUAGUGUGGCUUCUCUUUUUUUUUUUUUUUUAAGUACUGGGGAUUUAACCCAGGCUCACUUUACUACUGAGCUACAUCACCAGCCUGAUUUAUUUUUAUUUAUUUGUAUUUAGUUGUCAAUAGACCUUUAUUUUAUUUAUCUAUAUGCAGUGCUGAGAAUCUAACCCAGGGCCUCACACAUGCUAGGCAAGCGCUCUACCACUGAGCCACAAUCCCAGCCCAGCCUGUUGUAUUUAAAUUUGUUUUUUUUUUUUUUUCUUUUUUGAGACAGGUCCUUGCUAAUUUGCUGAGGCUGACCUCAAAUUUGUAAUUCUCCUGCCUCCGCCUCCCGAGUUGCUAGGAUUACAGAUGGGACCUCUCCUGGACAGAGGUUUUCUCCCAGCCACCACAGACCAAGGCCAGCUCUGCAUAGGCUGCCCUGCCUGGGAGCCGCAGUCCACUCCACGUUAAGUAGGAUCAGUGUGGGUUUGAGCUUUUGCCUGGUGAGGAUCCCUUGACCCUAGCACCACCCCCAGACCUCAGAAGAACACUCUCACUGAAACAGCCCUGAGGAUGAGAGAAAGGCCAGGCCCUCCUGUCCAAGCCUCUCCUGUCUGGGCAUGCGCACACAGAGAAACCCCUAUCCUGUCCUCACACCCUGUCGCCAUGCCAGGAUCACUUACUUCCCUGGCCUCUGCUUGCCAGGCACAGUGCCUCUUCCCAUGAGUGGACAGAGUCAGGGGCUGAGUGUUGGGGAACCCAGCUCCCUGCGCCCUACCUCUGGGCUGAUGCUGCCUUCCCUGAGCGUCUCUGGCCUGCACUUGAGGCAGUUCCAGAGCAGCUCUGGGAUGUGGCACUCAGCUGCAGUCUUGAUUCCACCCCAGAGGCAUGCUGACUUCUGCCCCUUUCCUACCUGAGCAGAAUAGGUCUAUCAGCUAACUCCCACCUCAGGGAACUGAGUAGGGGACAGAGUCUGGAAAAGGAAGUUGGGUCACCAAAACCAGCCCCACCAUCAGAGCCAGCACAGCUAUUUUUCUUCAACCCCACACAGCAAGAAGGCAUUCACCAGCUCUGCACCCCCCUGACUCUGGAUGAAGGGACAUGGCUCAUUUAACAAAGGACCCCAAAUCCACAUCCUGUGUUCAUAAGAUUGACCUUGUCCUAGAAUGCACUCUGGAAAGGGCUUGGGUUCUCCCAGCCUCGGGUAGCUUGCUGCCUGGGGUUGGGCGUUCAUGCACACUCCUUCGGUGACAAUGCAGAAGGGGCCUUCCCCUCAAGGGGCUUUACUGGCCCUGGAGGUAAAUACUUCUCCGGUGACAAACAACUGAGACUAAAGAUAAACUUAAAGCAUAAAAAUGAGUUAAUACCCACAAAAAUAAAGUGCUUUUAAAUAACCAAUUGU
This 3334-nucleotide long non-coding RNA is filed under the name Marmota monax (woodchuck). Lineage: Eukaryota; Metazoa; Chordata; Mammalia; Rodentia; Sciuridae. The record is from RNAcentral.